AUGAAGCCUCGGGGCCAGGGGUCACCUGCACUACAGAAUACAAGUGUUUGCAGUUUGCUCACUAGAAUGUUGAAUGAGACUACAUCAUUAUUACUCAAAAAAAACAUUUUUUAUUUGUUCAGAAUUGUUCUUUGUGUCCAUGGCAAAAAAUAUUUUUUUUGGUUAAUGCAAUCCUCCCGUGGAAGCACUAAAACACCUGCAUGUUUUAGUGUACAUGUUAAAACUGCACUAAUUUUGGUGUGCAUGUGUUUUAAAAAAACACCUAUUACACAUUUCUUGUUGAAAGUCGGUGUCUUUGCCUGA
RNAcentral lists this ribosomal RNA (303 nucleotides) under Triticum aestivum (bread wheat). RNAcentral describes it as "partial small subunit ribosomal RNA". The record is from RNAcentral. Lineage: Eukaryota; Viridiplantae; Streptophyta; Magnoliopsida; Poales; Poaceae.